CAGCAGCCGCGGUAAUACGAAGGGGGCUAGCGUUGCUCGGAAUGACUGGGCGUAAAGGGCGCGUAGGCGGCGAUCAAAGUCAGGCGUGAAAUCCCCGGGCUUAACCUGGGAACUGCAUUUGUGACUGGCGAGCUAGAGUAUGGCAGAGGGGGGUAGAAUUCCACGUGUAGCAGUGAAAUGCGUAGAGAUGUGGAGGAAUACCGAUGGCGAAGGCAGCCCCCUGGGCCAAUACUGACGCUCAUGCACGAAAGCGUGGGGAGCAAACAGGAUUAGAUACCCGCGUAGUCCCUGUCUCUUAUAC
RNAcentral lists this ribosomal RNA (301 nucleotides) under uncultured bacterium. RNAcentral's name for it is "partial 16S ribosomal RNA". It matches the Rfam family "Bacterial small subunit ribosomal RNA", at positions 509 to 807 of the family's 1533-position model. The record is from RNAcentral.